RNAcentral lists this transfer RNA (71 nucleotides) under Bos taurus (domestic cattle). It matches the Rfam family "tRNA". From Rfam's summary of the family: Transfer RNA (tRNA) molecules are approximately 80 nucleotides in length. The record is from Rfam by way of RNAcentral. RNAcentral also lists the same sequence under 2 other names. Lineage: Eukaryota; Metazoa; Chordata; Mammalia; Artiodactyla; Bovidae.
ACACUGGUGGUUCAGUGGUAGAAUUCCUGCCUCCCACGUGGGAGACCUGGGUUUGGUUCCUGGUCAAUGCA